RNAcentral lists this long non-coding RNA (378 nucleotides) under Brassica napus (rape). RNAcentral's name for it is "long non-coding RNA (BNAP_LNC019688)". Lineage: Eukaryota; Viridiplantae; Streptophyta; Magnoliopsida; Brassicales; Brassicaceae. The record is from RNAcentral.
UUCUGAAAUCCGAGUAAUCUCGUCUUCUUCGUUUGAUUCUGACCAUGAGGUAAGCUUAUACUUCUGUCUUUGUAGUUCUAUGUCAGUUUUCAGGGUUGUUUGUCCAUUGCAGUUUAGCAUUCGAGUUGGAUUUGGGAUUUAGAGUUUCUCUAGAAAUUGAUUUUCGGGUUUAAACAUUUUGUGUUUGGGUGUUAACUUGAUUAUUAGUGUUUUUUGUUGAUAUUCAUAUUCUCUCUAUUUUCUAAUUGGUAUUCUUUCAUCUUAUUAUAUAGAUGUCAGGUUGUAAAGACAAUGAUAAACUACUUGGAGAUGGCAUUGAACCACAUGCAAAUGUAGCUACCGGAAAAAAAGAUCAGCUUCAGAGAGGUCAAAUUCUGA